CUCAUACAUCGAUCUUAAAGAGCAAGUAACGUCUAAAUUAACUUUUUUUUGCUGAUGAACUGUAUAAAUGAGUGUCUAAUAGUGUUUUAAAUGUGUGCAUUCUUUAUUUUAGCAUUUUGGUGCAUUUUCUUUAAAAAUUAAAAAUUCUGUCUAAAAACCACAGUAAUGCGCCACCUUCAGCUGAAAACAUAGAAUUUGAGUCAUUUUGAAUAAAUUUUAGCCAAUGGCUAAAGAGUAAAGUACUACGUAAACCAGUAGAGUACUACGUAGCAGCUCCGUGCCAAAGUUAUAAAAGCAACGAGCGUCUCGGCCACGCCCUGUGGCGAGUGGGAGUUGGAUUUGCAAGCGAGUGUAGGAGGUCAGCGGUAGUUCAGCAUUAGCAUAUAGCAUUAGCAUAUCCUAGUCUUUAGCAUAUCUUUUAGUGUUAUAAAUACUUAUUUAGUGUUAGCUUGGCUGUUGUAUAUUGUAGUUUAGUUAGUGUUUGGCUGUUAGUGUAAUUGGGAAAGUAUUUCGGGUUUAGUGUUCCAUAUCGUCUUAGUAUUGGUGAGUAGGUGUAGUGUAGUAUGGUUGCGGUGACUCUGUGGGCAUUUUACCCGCGAUUCUGCACGCCUCCGUUUGAAGAGGGAGGCUGCCCACCGUGGCUCUUCCGCGAUUUAGAUGCAGCCCACCGACUCUGCUCCCCCACCACGGCGGGCUCCAGUCUGAGGUGAGUCAGCUAAAUAAACGUUUUAACAUCUUCUAAAGACAAUUCCCUACCUAAAUGCAAAGUCUGAGAGACGUGGUUCACUUCCUUUAGCUAGUCAGUCGGCAAUUCUGCAACAGUGUCUCUAACUAACGCUGCACUAGUUGACAGCAUUACAGCGUGAAAUCCAGCUUGUGACCCGGUUCUGUGAGGAAUUCUGUUCAGGAGGUCGCAUUUCAGGCUCUCCACAUCAUAUGUGACUGACUUUUACGUUAUAACAACGAUCACACACUAGGAAUGUUAUAAAGCGCCUAUAUAGGAGAUUCUUUUGUAUAUUAUCUGACUUUAUAAACUCCCAACAACAAUGUGCUUCUAUUUUUUUUUUCAGGCUAAAUCUACCCAAGACACUGGCUGUCAGACUGAUUUAGCUGCAAGAAUGCACUUGUCCAGGCUGACGUGAAACCUUCCCUGUAGCAAAGCCAGCCAGAAUGGAGUUCACAGCCGCAGUGUGUCUGGUGACCCACGGGGACCAUGAUGAAAAUUCAUCUUCCAGAAGGUCCCAGAGCGUCCAGACCCCCUGAAAAGACCAAGAUGUAAGGUGUCUGCUGUUGAUUCCAGCUUCCACCUCAGUGACAGUGCAAGCUCAGUGAACUGUUCAAGGACAUUCAGCAAAAUAUGGACUCUACACCAUGAGGCAUGCACACAUUAAUAUUCUAUAAGAGCACAUAAGGUGAGCAACACCACAUAUUGUACACUGUCCUGAAUUUGUUUUCUUUCUGCAUCUCAUUAGCCUGGCUGAUCACCUGAUAACUCCUGUCAUCUGGUUAUGACAGCAUGAGGAUGUCCUCACACACCUGUAACCUAUCAGAUCAUCUGGCAGAAUAGAGAGAGAAGAGACAACACCACAUCUCCUGUUCCUGGAAAGCCUUCAGCCAUCCUUCGAUGACUGAGAACCUCCAUCAGCUCUGUCUCCUGUCUGCCUACAAUUAUUAUAAUAAAUAUUGUGUUUGACAAGUUUUUUGUGCUGCCAAAUAUCUCAUUUAGAUUCCAGUUUUGAUAUUUUAAUGGAUAUUUAUAAAUUACAUUGAAUAUCACAUUUUUGUUGCAUGUUUAACUAGCUCUAUUGUGAUUAAUUAAACUAGCACCUCACUGUUAAAAGCUCGUUCUAAUUUCAAGCAUGUUUAAGUAUUUAUGGACAUGAACAAAAACAGGAAAUAUAUAUAUUGAGAUUUAUUUAAUUAAUAUAACAAAUAAGGGGGAAAGAGUCAUCGAAAGGCACAUUCUUC
Nothobranchius furzeri (turquoise killifish) is the source of this 1968-nucleotide non-coding RNA. The record is from RefSeq and is a predicted model, not a curated record. NCBI's taxonomy places the organism in Eukaryota, Metazoa, Chordata, Actinopteri, Cyprinodontiformes, Nothobranchiidae.